UGCUUUUAAAAUUUCAGAAGCAUUAAAAACAUGCAUAAUAAAAAAUUAUUUUAAUUAUACAUACAUAAUGUAUUGUGUUUAUAUAUAGGGGCUCUACUCAUUGAAAAUGUCUGGCUCACUAAGAAUUUAACUGACCUAACUGCUGCUAGAAGAUGGUGUGAAGUGCAAGAUUUAUGUCCAAUUCAGCACAAUUUUUCUAGUUACAUGGAAACCAUGAAUAAUGAUUCUGACAUGGUUAUGGAUGGCUAUAAAUCUUCCACAUUGUAAAAGAUUAAGAUUAUCACUGUCUCAGUGUGACUGCAUACAUAUGUAGGGCAGUUCACCGGAAUGGACCUACAAAUCCAUAUUGAAGUUGUCUGUGAAACAAUUAGUCAUUCAAAUUUAUCAAGUAAUAUAAAUUUUCAUUUCACUCAUUUUAUAACUGUACACUUUGAGAAUUGCAAGUCUCACAAACAUUAUGUGAAAUUUUCCUCCAAUUCAGGAGACUUAAGAAAUAAAAUGACAAUUACCUA
Molecule: long non-coding RNA, 512 nt
Organism: Stegodyphus dumicola
Lineage: Eukaryota; Metazoa; Arthropoda; Arachnida; Araneae; Eresidae
Source: RefSeq, a predicted model, not a curated record